Molecule: long non-coding RNA, 2112 nt
Organism: Canis lupus familiaris (dog)
Lineage: Eukaryota; Metazoa; Chordata; Mammalia; Carnivora; Canidae
Exons: 4
Source: RefSeq, a predicted model, not a curated record
CUUAGCCAUCAUCACCACUACCAACACCAGGAACAGCCAGUUUCAGGUUGCUCCUAGCUUGGACCCUGCUGUCAUGUGUAGAAUAACUAUUCAACUGAGGAAAGGUUAUGAAAAGUGAAAGUGGGAAGAGAAUGACUUAAAUGAACAGAGUACAGCAGAAGUGAUGGUGUGUGAUUGGGUCAUAAAAGGCAUUAUGGCUCUGGGGGAAUUCAACUGCCAUGUUGUGAGGACACUCAAGCAUCCCUAUGGGGAGGUCCAUUUGGGAAAGAACUGAGGCCUCUGGCAACAAUCAGUCCUAAUCUGCAAGGAGUGUAAACAAACUCUGGAAGCUGAUCCUCCAGUGCAGCCAAGCCUUCACAUGACUGCAGACUUGGCCAACAUCCAGACUGCAAUGUUAUGAGCCCCAAGGCAGAAUCACCCAUCUAAGCUCUCCAGGAUUCCUUACCCACUGCCCUGGAGGCAGAGAAAUGAUCUCCAAACUAUCAGGAGUCUCUUUUAGCUACUUGGAAGAAUGUCUCCUGACCACUCCUCCCUCUGUGUCUGUCUGAUGCCCAUCUCAGUACCUGAAGAGUCUGGAUGCACUGGGAGACCUUUGUUUGCAUCUUUAGAGCCCCCUUUGUGGUGAACUGAUCUUAGAGGCUGUGUGAGGGCUAAGAAACCCCCAGCAGAACUUGCUGCACUUAGGUGGUGGUGGGGCUGGAGUCAAUUUCUCUUAACCUGUUGGCCAAGGCUACAAUUACGGCUGUUUUCUUUAGCCCACUCCUUUUCCUUUCCUCCAGAACAGGGAAUUUAGGAGCUCCUAGUUUUUUGUUUACUCUUCCCCAUUAGCCUCUGUAUGGAAAGCCAACUGCCAAUGACCACUUCUGUUUCCAAGGGGAAGGUUUUAAAAAAAAUUUUUUUCCCCUGAGGGCCAUGAACAAAUUUAGGGUCUAAGGAGGAGGAGAAAUGAAUAAGUCCAGACCUCGGGUCUUUUAAAUAAGAUGAUAAAACAAGCAAUAGCUGCCACUCCGCAGCUCUCUAUCCCCACCCCCUCUCCAAAGGGGUUUGCAUUCUUCCGCUUGUAACGACUUCAUUGGUCGACUCCUUUUCUUCAGUACUUUUUUCCCCAUAGCUGCAUUAUGGCAAUAGCCCCCUCACUGGCCCCUAGUAGCCCAGGCAGCCUAGAAAAACCCUGUGGUAUCUUAGGCUCCCUCCAAAUCUGGGCGUCCUUUACCAGGGGGAGUGGGAGCAUGGUUCGCGGGUCUCAGUCCCACAGCUGAAGUCUGCGCUCUCUUACUUUACCUGAUUCUGUUCUGCUGGGCGGAAGACUUGUUUCCCUUGCAAGGAGCUGUUUCCAUGAUCCCACCUUGCACCUCAUACUGUCACAAAUGAGGCUCUCUUUAAAGAGCUGGGUAUGUUUGCGAGCAGAGAAUGAGGAAACUUGGCUUCCCUAGGGUGAAAAGGGCCAUAUCUGCGCAUAAAGGCUUCCUGCACUGGGACAUCUGCAACAUGCUCAGUGGUCCUAUUUAUUGGCUGGGGCUAAAGUAAUCUCGCCCAAUAUCUGGCCUGGGCCUCCCACCACUUUCCAUCCAGGUGAGGGGAAAAGGGAAGCCUGCAGGGCCUAAUUGAGUGGACCUCUCAGGGGUCCUACUGGUUCAAAAAGGACCUAGAAAGAAAAGAUGCUGAGGCUCCCUUUGAAUCACAGGCAGAGGUGAGAAGGAGACAAAUCCGAAUUCGUCUUGAUCAAAUGGAAAGACAGAUUUAAAAAAACACUAUUUGCUUGUGUCAUGCCAUCUGCUAUGAAAACGGCUCCCCGCCAGGGAGUCCUAUACACAUGCUCAAGGUGGGUCCUCUCCUGUCUUUCUAAUUUCACACUCUGGCUUCCUGAGUCCACGAUUGGAAAGGGAGAAGAGAGGGCAAGGGCGAGUCAGCAGCAUGGGGUUUAAUGGUGGUGCUCGCUAUGUGGGUGAUGCCAGGACAUUGGCAGUUGGGCCCCGUGAAUGAGUUUGCUUCUCUAGUUUGCUUGUGGACACCUUUAAGCCCGAAAGGUGGUGCCUCUGAGGACACUUGUCCAGGAAACACAUGCCUACACGCAGAGGAACAGGUGCUGCUGGUCUGGAUCCUUCCUGGAGA